CCGUCAGGCCGGAGAUAAAAAGAAGACGGACCGGUUCUAUCUUUCACUUCCUUCUCUCGUCUGAUCGAGGCUUGGAGAUGCUGUCUCACUUUCCAGUGGCGGCCACAUGUGUGACUGUGCUGCAGGCUGGCUGGCUAGGUCUUCGAAGCAGCUGGAAAGCCCACUAUGGUGUGUGAUCUAACUGAGGAAGGAUGCGCCUUCAGCACCUUGGAGAGGAUUCACAAUGGAGUCUUUUGAUGAUUCGGUGACGCUUCAGCAUCACGAUUGGCGUGUUCCCAUUGAGGGUUCUGAUGAAGAAAGUUCCCUCAUUGAGCGAGGAUGAAGCCAACAUGGAACAGAUCGGAGUGAUGACUAAGCCCGUCCCAGAUGCUUGGAGAUGCUGUCUCACUUUCCAGUGGCGGCCACAGGUGUGACUGUGCUGCAGGUUAAUGAGCCUGUACAUCUCUAGGGUUGGCUAUCGUUUUUGCAUUGAUUGUGCCUAAUCAAUAUGGCUCUGGUCACUUGAAUUCUAUGGCUUCAUCUUUGGAUUGCUCUCCUGAUUGCAGUGGAAUAUCUGAGUCUGGAUGGGCCUGGAAGGAUCUGCCGUGUGUUCGGUCUUCAAAUUAAAAUCUGGAGGAAGAUGUAUAUCGUGUGUAUAGUUAGACUGCACGUUAAAUCUGAAGCAAAAUCUCUGGAGUUAUAAAAACUCCUACAGCUCUGAAUUUUUUUUCAGGUGUAUUGUAAAAUCCAGCACUUCCCAAUAAAAUAACUCUACUAACUAUA
This is a long non-coding RNA of Platichthys flesus (European flounder), 762 nucleotides long. RefSeq lists it as uncharacterized. NCBI's taxonomy places the organism in Eukaryota, Metazoa, Chordata, Actinopteri, Pleuronectiformes, Pleuronectidae. The transcript has 10 exons. The record is from RefSeq and is a predicted model, not a curated record.